RNAcentral lists this ribosomal RNA (153 nucleotides) under uncultured bacterium. RNAcentral describes it as "partial 16S ribosomal RNA". It matches the Rfam family "Bacterial small subunit ribosomal RNA", at positions 527 to 679 of the family's 1533-position model. The record is from RNAcentral.
GGGAGUGGCAAGCGUUAUCCGGAAUUAUUGGGCGUAAAGCGUCCGCAGGCGGCCUUUCAAGUCUGCUGUUAAAGCGUGGAGCUCAACUCCAUCAUGGCAGUGGAAACUGAUCGGCUUGAGUAUGGUAGGGGCAGAGGGAAUUCCCGGUGUAGC